This is a small nucleolar RNA of Tachyglossus aculeatus (Australian echidna), 138 nucleotides long. Lineage: Eukaryota; Metazoa; Chordata; Mammalia; Monotremata; Tachyglossidae. The record is from RefSeq and is a predicted model, not a curated record.
CCCCUCUCAGGAUCGCACCUGGAGAGUUUCCAUUACUCUACCAGUCUUGUCUACAGGAGGUAGACUCAAGCAGCGGUAUACGUAUUCCAUUCCUAGCUUGGGAAGUGGCUAGUGAGUGGAAGGCAAUCCGCUACAAGU